GGAUCAUUACCGAGCUCCUGCCCUCUGGGUAGAGACGCCACCCGUGUGUACCAGACCGAUGUUGCUUUGGCGGGCCUCGCCCGCCAGAGACCCCAAACCCUAAGCGUGAGUGUCGUCGGAGAACUAUCUAAUAGUUAAAACUUUCAACAACGGAUCUCUUGGUUCUGGCAUCGAUGAAGAACGCAGCGAAAUGCGAUAAGUAAUGUGAAUUGCAGAAUUCAGUGAAUCAUCGAAUCUUUGAACGCACAUUGCGCCCCUCGGUAUUCCGGGGGGCAUGCCUGUUCGAGCGUCAUAAUAGCCCAUCCAGCCCUGCUGGGUCUUGGGCCCGCCGGCCGGCGGGCCCCAAAGCCAGUGGCGGUGCCGCCUGGUGCCUAAGCGUAGUACAACCCUCGCUAUAGGCCCCAGGCGCGCGCCCGCCAGCAACCCCUUCUACGGUUGACCUCGGAUCAGGUAGGGAUACCCGCUGAACUUAAGCAUAUCAAUAAGCGGAGGAAAAGAAACCAACAGGGAUUACCUCAGUAACGGCGAGUGAAGCGGUAACAGCUCAAAUUUGAAAUCGGGCUCCGUCCGGGGCCCGAGUUGUAAUUUGUAGAAGAUGCUUUGGGUGCGGCCGUGGCCUAAGUCCCUUGGAACAGGGCGUCAUAGAGGGUGAGAAUCCCGUCUGCGGCCGGCGGCCUGCGCCCGUGUAAAGCUCUUUCGACGAGUCGAGUUGUUUGGGAAUGCAGCUCAAAAUGGGUGGUAAAUUUCAUCUAAAGCUAAAUAUGGGCCAGAGACCGAUAGCGCACAAGUAGAGUGAUCGAAAGAUGAAAAGCACUUUGGAAAGAGAGUUAAACAGUACGUGAAAUUGUUGAAAGGGAAGCGCUUGCAGCCAGACUCGCGGGCCGCCGCUCCCUCGGGGUUCUCCCCGGGGCAUUCGGCGGCUCACGGGCCAGCAUCGGUUCGGGCGGCUGGACAAAGGCCGCGGGAAUGUGGCCCCCCUCGGGGGGUGUUAUAGCCCGCGGUGUAAUGCAGCCUGCCGGGACCGAGGACCGCGCUUCGGCUAGGAUGCUGGCGUAAUGGCUGUAAGCGACCCGUCUUGAAACACGGACCAAGGAGUCUAACAUCUAUGCGAGUGUUUGGGUGCUAAACCCAUACGCGGAAUGAAAGUGAACGGAGGUGAGAGCCCGUAUGGGUGCAUCAUCGACCGAUCCUGAUGUCUUCGGAUGGAUUUGAGUAAGAGCAUAGCCGUUGGGACCCGAAAGAUGGUGAACUAUGCCUAAAUAGGGUGAAGUCAGAGGAAACUCUGAUGGAGGCUCGCAGCGAUUCUGACGUGCAAAUCGAUCGUCAAAUUUGGGUAUAGGGGCGAAAGACUAAUCGAACC
This is a ribosomal RNA of 1360 nucleotides. The stretch from base 437 to 1360 matches the Rfam family "Eukaryotic large subunit ribosomal RNA", at positions 1 to 941 of the family's 3401-position model.